CAAGCAACUCACUGUGCUUUGGUACUGGACUAACUGAAUUUCUAAUUCAGAGACGAAAGGCUUCUGGGCACAGUCAAGUACUUGCGAAGUCAGAGUGUGAUUGAGAUGGGAUUGACCACUCCAAGAGUUGGAGAAGAAUGAGUCGCUGUAUUUCAAUUUAGCAAAACCUUGGCCAGGGUAAUCCAUCAGAUAGAUUUGAUAUUUUGAAAUACAAUGUGGACAACCUGAUCAGAGUUGACAGUUGAACUUUGGGGUGUCCUAUGAUCAUUUUGGUCAAGGAAAUAAAUUAUAUGAAAACUAUAUCCAUAUGGGUUCUAAGGAUGUUGUUCUACACAUUCGACCUAUCCGGUCGUCGGGUACCAUUGCUAGAUGGUCACUUCGAUUGGUACAAAAAUUUAUUCCUGUGCUACCGGCUUAGGUUCGGACCUAUGAGGUCACACACAUUAGAGUUCAUGAUCCCAUCGGAUGGUUGAUCAACGAUUAAGAAUCAUUCUAGGGUUAAAUGAUCAAUACGAUUGACAUUUAACCCAGUACAAGUGUUGCAGGAGGAUCGAUUAGCAAUUUGAUUACUAAUUGGCUUAAUUUGAUUAAGUCAAUGGGCUGCGAUUAAGUCUAAUUAAAUAUGAUUUAAUUAGAUUUGGUUUGGGCUUGAUUGGAUCAAGUCCAAUUGGUUUAUUGGAUAAGCCAAGUGCAAGAAAAAACUAGUCCUAGUUCAACUAGGACUUGGGUCAAUCUAAUUUCUAAUUUGAUUAGAAGAUUAAAUCAGAUUUAAAUCUAAUUUAAUCUGAUUAAAUUAGGUUCUUAAUUGGGUUAAGACCUAUUUUAAUUAGGUUGAUCUAAUUUUGGUUUGAUUUGGU
This 857-nucleotide long non-coding RNA is filed under the name Elaeis guineensis (African oil palm). Its description in RNAcentral is "long non-coding RNA (EGUI_LNC035694)". Lineage: Eukaryota; Viridiplantae; Streptophyta; Magnoliopsida; Arecales; Arecaceae. The record is from RNAcentral.